This 258-nucleotide ribosomal RNA is filed under the name uncultured bacterium. Its description in RNAcentral is "partial 16S ribosomal RNA". It matches the Rfam family "Bacterial small subunit ribosomal RNA", at positions 99 to 353 of the family's 1533-position model. The record is from RNAcentral.
CGCACGGGUGAGUAACGCGUAUGCAACUUACCUAUCAGAGGGGGAGUAACCCGGCGAAAGUCGGACUAAUACCGCAUGAAGCAGGGGCCCCGCAUGGGGAUAUUUGCUAAAGAUUCAUCGCUGAUGGAUAGGCAUGCGUUCCAUUAGGCAGUUGGCGGGGUAACGGCCCACCAAACCGACGAUGGAUAGGGGUUCUGAGAGGAAGGUCCCCCACAUUGGUACUGAGACACGGACCAAACUCCUACGGGAGGCAGCAUG